RNAcentral lists this ribosomal RNA (407 nucleotides) under Terrahaemophilus aromaticivorans. RNAcentral describes it as "bacterial SSU rRNA". It matches the Rfam family "Bacterial small subunit ribosomal RNA", at positions 30 to 431 of the family's 1533-position model. The record is from RNAcentral. Lineage: Bacteria; Pseudomonadati; Pseudomonadota; Gammaproteobacteria; Pasteurellales; Pasteurellaceae.
AUUGAACGCUGGCGGCAGGCUUAACACAUGCAAGUCGAACGGUAACAUAAAGAAGCUUGCUUCUUUGAUGACGAGUGGCGGACGGGUGAGUAAUGCUUGGGAAUCUAGCUUAUGGAGGGGGAUAACUACGGGAAACUGUAGCUAAUACCGCGUAGAAUCGAGAGAUGAAAGUGUGGGACCUUCGGGCCACAUGCCAUAGGAUGAGCCCAAGUGGGAUUAGGUAGUUGGUGAGGUAAAGGCUCACCAAGCCGACGAUCUCUAGCUGGUCUGAGAGGAUGACCAGCCACACUGGGACUGAGACACGGCCCAGACUCCUACGGGAGGCAGCAGUGGGGAAUAUUGCGCAAUGGGGGCAACCCUGACGCAGCCAUGCCGCGUGAAUGAAGAAGGCCUUCGGGUUGUAAAGU